This 1399-nucleotide small RNA is filed under the name Arabidopsis thaliana (thale cress). RNAcentral's name for it is "ATSL149960". The record is from RNAcentral. Lineage: Eukaryota; Viridiplantae; Streptophyta; Magnoliopsida; Brassicales; Brassicaceae.
CAAUGACGACAAAAACAAACAGACCAAAACACAAAUUAGAUCCAAACUCUUAACAUCCUUAAUCAUCAAAAAACAUCAUCGUAAGAAAUCAAGCAAAGCAUCCAUGUCUGCACACUUCACCUUCAAGUCCUUUAAAUCUUCCUCAAUUUCUUGCAGUCGACUCUUACCAGUCUCUUUCAGUUUCUUCUCCAACCAAUCCAACUUAAACCCUGCUUUUGUAACAAAUCGUAGUGCAGAAUAUGCCUCUGCCAGAUCACCACUGGAAAGUUCUUCCGGAAACUUGCACAGAAUCUCAGUCAUACUUAGUACAACAUCCAGAAAUGUUUUUCUCAGAUGUUGGUUCUUGGGAAAGAUUUUUGAUGCAAAGCCUCGAUACUUUUCAAACAGACUGUUCAUAGAUUCUACCUGCAAGUAAACAAACGGACAGUUCAGAUAAAAACCAUAUCGAAUAGCGAUUCUUGGAGACCUGAAAACAACCCAACAAAACAUACAUGCAGCAUGCAUCUAUAUUUGUAAAUAACUAUAUAUCAGCCAAAUGAACUCUAGUAAGAAACUCUUACAAUUCGUUUCAUUUUUUCUUUUGUUUUCUAUGAAUUUAAAAGUAUAUUUCUUACCUGUGAAGCAGGGACUUGAAACCCAUUGAUAUCAAUUCUUUCUGGUUCCUCUGGUACAUCUAAUUCACCAAUAACUUCAAGAACAUCUACUUCUGCAACAAUCUUGACUUCUCCGUUUACGAGAAACCCUUUAUCACUGCUUUGAAUCUCCGAAAGGAGAAACAUAGAUUCAAAACCAUGGGUUGUGUCCUUUUCAUCAAACCAGUAUACUGCUUCUGAAAACAAAACCACAAAAACAAACUUGAUAUUAUCAUCAACUACAAUUCCAAAGAAAGUAUGACAAGAGCUAUACUGCAACAUAGAGGUUGUGUUCUUUAUGUUGUCCGCCUUAUCAUAAAGUGGAGAGAGUAGAAACAAUCACCUCGCUGUUGGGAGAGUCCUCCCGGAAUUUGAUUUACCAUAGUAAAAGAAACUUUAGCGCGUCUUCUCCAUCCGGAAGGCAAAGACUCAGAAUUAGGAACACAUAUAUACAGAAAGAAAUAAUCAUAGAUAUUGUUUCCCUUGGGAAAGGCGAGUAGACGCCUACAAGCAAAAACCACAGAAAGUCAUUUGCAGCUAUCGAACAUGAAUAUAUAUCAGUUGCAACAAGUUAUGUUCUUUACCACUUGCAACGACCGGCCUUGAAUGUAUCAGAAUAAACACUACCGGAACCCAAAGAGUUGUAAUUCUUGAUCACCCAAGUGAACUUCUUAUCAGCUUGAUGAUUCCCCAUUGUUCUUGAUGAUGAAUACUCUAAACAACCAAAUUAGUAACUCGAACAAGUCAAACAACCAUAUCAAGAAACA